RNAcentral lists this long non-coding RNA (7989 nucleotides) under Salvia miltiorrhiza (redroot sage). RNAcentral describes it as "long non-coding RNA (SMIL_LNC005678)". Lineage: Eukaryota; Viridiplantae; Streptophyta; Magnoliopsida; Lamiales; Lamiaceae. The record is from RNAcentral.
CCCCAUUCACACGCCUACUCUCUCUCUCUCUUACCUCUUUCUCUUUUCCCUUUCUACCACCAUGAAUAACCAUUGUAAAAGCUUCCAAGAUCACUUCUAUACCAAGAAACUCCAUCAAAUCAAGUUCUAAACAUCUAUAUUCCUUUGAAUCAAGAGCAAGUUUUGGAGGAGUUUUCAAGCUUGAAGUUAGAGAGAAGAAUUUUUAUUUCUUUCAAAAUCCUUGAGUAAGUGAUGAAUCCUCUUAGAUCUAGACUUAUUUAUGUUGGAUAUGUGUGUAUAUGGUUAGAUCAAACUAGAAAACACCCCUAUCCCUUCUUUAAAAUUUUCGAAAAUUGUGGGUUAUGCCCUUCAAAAUUUUUAUUUUUCUUUUCUUGAAUUGAGGUUAUUUAAAUACUAUUGGGUUCCUAAUUAGUCUUUUUCCAUGUGUAGAUAAUUGAAUUAAAAAGAGAUAUGAGAUUUGAAAUAGUUUAGUUUGUGUAAAUUUGGGAAGUUUUGUAUUUGAGGCUUGAUUGAUGAAUUGAUGGAUGAUAUAUGCUAUUGAGAGUGUUUAUAUGAGAUUUGAUGGAUUGGAUUGAUGGUUGAAAUUGAUUAGUAAUUUUUGAUAUGAGUUAGUUUGAUGUAAUUUGGGUAAAAUUGAUUCUAUGGUUUAAUUUACUAAUCGAUUGUUUAUUUAUGCUAUUAAGUGUGUCAAUUUGAUAGAUCUAAGUUUGGGUUAAUGAUUUAUGCAUGUUUACAAAUUUUCAAAAAGUUUAGUUUGUUAAAAAUUGGGACUUUGUGAUCUAUGUGUUAAUUGAUUAAAUUGGCUAAGGUUAAUUGUUAUUAAGCAUGAUAGAAAUGAUAAUUAGGGAUCAAUUUGGUUAUUGUCAAGAAAGCCUAAAAUUGGUUAAGUUUAGUUUACUAAUAAUUGGGAACUUUUGAUUAACAAGAUAAAUACUUGAAUUGAUGAUUAUUAUAUGUUAGUUAGACUACUAGCAAGGAGAAAUCAUGAUUAAUUUAGUUAAUGAUGUUGAUUUGUGAAAAUUUCUCGAGUUUAGUUUGCGUGCAUACAUGAGAUCUUGUAUAUAAGAUGAGUUAUGAGCCAAGCAUGUCUAUAUGUGGCUAAUUGAUGAUAAGUUGAGCUUAUAUAUGCGAUAUGAGACGAGUUUAUGUUAUUGUGUAUGAUGUGAGCUUAAUUUGAAUUUUUGAGAAUUUUUCAUCGAAGAAGUCCGGAGUUUAGGUAUAAUUGCUUUUAUGUUCAAGUUUGGAGUUAUUUUAUGACCUUUUCUACCUAAUGUUUCGUUGGGUUCUUGAUAUCCAAAGACCCUAAAAAUUUUAUGGUAAUAUUAUACGCGAGUCUUGAGAAUACUGGUAAAAUUUUACGUGAAUUGGACUUCGGUUACUAUUUUUAUAAAAUCGAAAACUAAAACUGCUACUUUCUGCCGAAAUGUUCGGUGAGUAGCCAAUAGAGUAACCUUUUCCAGAAUCUCUCCCUAACGUUUUGGAUCCCAAAUUUUUAUUGUUAAGAAAUGAUUGUCGUAGCUAAGUACACAGAAAAUUUUAAGCCUUUUCGGCAACGUUUACUAUUAUUCAAAAAUCAAGGUUUUCAAUUGCUCAAAACUGCCGAAUAUGGUAGACUGUAGGAAAACAGUCAUAUCUCCUAAACUACUUGGCGUUUUUCAUCCUACUUUUUUUGAAUGAAACUAGACUCAAGGAGGUUUCAAUUGGUAUAGGUCACGACUCCAGUGGAGUUCUGUACCGAGUCUGGUGAAGUCUUUAAAUCGAGUCAGUGCAGAAUGAUGUUUGUUUGUGACUAUGUGAUUAUGCUUGUUUAUGUGCUUGAUUGCUAUGAGUUUAACCCGAGUUGAGUGUUAAGUCGAGAGAGUAGGACUUGUGAAUCCUUAGGAGUUAAGUAUACCUAGGGAUUGAGAUUUAUUUGGGUAAAUAGAAGAUGAGUGAUAAGUUAUAUCUUGAGACGAGAUUGGAUUUUAGUAAUUGGGUUUCUAACUGAGGUUUAUCUUAUCUCAUGAACCACUCACGUUGUGACAUCUGAAGAUACGAGCAGAGGACGGAGGUAAUAUCGCCCAAGUAUUACGAGAGUAAGCUAAGUUUGUCAAGUGGGCAUUAUUUUGAUAUACCUAUUAUACGAGCUUUCUUAAAUGAUAUGAUACUUAUGAUUAUGAAUUGAGUUAAUGUUACGCUUGAAUCAAAUUGACUUGCCGAGUUUUGUUAAUAAUGACUUGUGUGUUACCCUCUAUUGAUGAGACGAAUUCGGUCCUGCCACAAGCGGAAUUUUGUGCACAGAGGUGACUGUGAGCCGUCUAUCGGGUCGGUCGGUCGAUGGUACUUGAGUAGGGAGGCCUACUUCUCAGUACCUUUGAUGAUGAGUAGUGGAUGUUUAUGAUUUGCGAAAUUGCAUGCACAGGUUCUUCUCUAACUAAAACCCCUGUGUGUUGCUUAAUGUGGCAAGUUCAAUUUAUAGCUCUAAGAGCAAACUUUCAUUUUGUUUUUCGGCAUAUGUCCACUGAGUACUUUGUACUCAGCCCUGCAUGUAUUUCUAAAUGUGCAGGAUAAGCGAGGAUGGAGAAUGGUCUGGUGCUGGCGAGGAUUUUGUUCCGAUGUUAUUCUUUUACCGUAUUUAUAUUACAUACGGUAGCUUUUUGAUGUCGAUAAUUAUAUUUUGGACUUAGUCAAGAAGUAUACUCUCGGCUAUAUGUCAUACAUAUAGUCUAUACACGUUUUGCUGCGAGACUCUGUAAAUUAUAAACAUUUGUAAAUUUUUAACUCUGUCCGCUUUGUAAACUUUGUCGAGAAUCCCUGUACUUUUGAACUUAUGAAGAGGAUAAUAUUUGUGUCUUUGAGAUGAUGUUUUUGUUAUUAACUUUUACUUGUGUUGUUCUGAGCUUCCGCUUGUUGUUUGAUCUAGUUCUUCCCUCUUUACUUCAUUCUUUUAUUUUAGUCGUAUCGAUACUCGAUCUACGCUAUCACUGGCUAGACGUCGGGCUGCGACAAGCUAAUCUAGCGGCAAUAAACGUGGUUCCGAGGAAAAUACCUCUAUUAUAAAGUACUAGUGUUCUCAAGCUCGUUCUCGAAAUUCUAAUAAACGAGCUCUACUCGUUUAUCGAAAAAUUCUGAUUUACUAUUCACUCGUCGUCCAAAAAUAAAAAGUUUCAUCAUUGGACUCGUAUUGAGCGAUUUUUUUUUUGAAAACAAAAAAAAAUUUGGGAAUGCUCUCGCUAGGGUUUCCCCCCGCUGCGUCCUAGGCGGUUGUCUUCUUGUGGUUUGGCCGGCAGGCUCUGGUUUUCUCCAGCCGGCAUGACGUCCUCUUCUGUUCUCUCGGUUUUCCCUCCGUUGGGAAUCAACAACACGAAUUGGUUCCAAUGGCAACGCACGGAAUGGUUUUGUUUCAGACUCAAAUAGGGUUACUCCACCUUCAACCCUCAUGGAUCCUCCUUCGUCUGGUGCAGGAUUCCUUUGGAACGGGGCUCUGCCACCGGCGUCUCUAGAAAAGAAUUCUAGGGUUUCACAAUCCUUCAACCACUCGUCAUGCACUGAGGGUUUUCUCUUCGCGGCUCAUUCGUCCGCGCUGCAUAGAGCCUCCUCCGGGCUGCCGGCAGCGGAGUUUGACUGGAGUGCUUUCAUAGCCAAGGCCAACGCUCAUUCGCAACUUUCACAAUUGGCGGCUGUUCCUAGGGUUUCUGUUUCGGAGAUGGCUGCUACGGAUUUUACGCGAAAUCCCAAUUCCCCCUUAGAUUCCCUUAUCGUGGCUUCAACUCCGGCACAAUUUGGGGAGGGUUCGGGAGUCUUAAUCUCCGGUAAUACACGUACGGCGAGUUCUCAGUCGCUGGAGUUCGCGAACUCUCAAGAGAUGCUUCAACUGGAAACAAGGGUUCUUCACACUACGCCGGCAACACAGCAGCAGCCUCAUAGUAUUCCUCUUAACAGGAAAACGUUUGCGGAAUCUCUGAAAUCCUCUACUGAUCGUCCGGCUGAUGUUCCGGCACAUGAUUAUGCGGUGUUGAAGCUGACGUUAGUGGCAGACCGUCCAUGUCUCAUUCUCUCUUCUGACUUCCGUCAAAGACAAAUUAGGUCUUUUCAACAUGCCAUCCAUGGCCGGAUUUUACUCAAGAAAGGUCAGGCGCCUAGGUUCGCUGCCGACCUCUACUCGGAGCUCUCUGACAUUUGGAAAUCGUCGGCGAACUGGGAAGUUAUUCCUCUCGGGAAGGGUUAUUUUACGCUAAAUUUUCAACAUAUUCUGACUUUGCCGCUGCUUUUGCUAAGAACACUUGGAGACUCCGAUCCGGAAUCCUCUUCCUUCAGGCUUGGACUCCGAAUUUCAAUCUGCACAAGCUGGAAUCCUCAUUGGCUCAAGUUUGGGUGCGAAUUUUCAACUUACAACAUGAGCUCUGGCAUCCUGAGGUCAUUACGGGUAUUGCUCGUCAGGUUGGUACUCCUUUACUUAUUGACGGUUUGUCGGCUAGGGCGUCUGUGGGUAACUUUGCCAGGAUCUUAGUGGAAAUUAAUGUGGCUCUGGAACACCCUUCGUUCCUUGAUGUUAAAUGUGAUGAAAAUACUUAUGAGAUUGAGUUUCGUUAUGAGGAUAUGCCUUCUUUUUGCUGUGUUUGCUCUUCUAUUGGUCACUCUACAGAUAAUUGCCGGAAGAUGAACCCGGAGGCUGAUCCCGCUGGCACGGAGCUACCCCCGCCUAACAGGGAAUUCGGUCAGGUUACAGGUAGGCAAGGACGGCGUCGUAGGAAUAGAGGGCUAGGCGUCGGCGGCCUCGGAGCCGCUCAGUUUGGAGGACUCGAACUGAGGAAGGCACUGCUAUUCAGAAGGACGUCUCUGACCAGUCAAUGGAUGUUCGAAAGAACAUUGGAGAGGUUCCCUUGGAAGCGGGGGUUAUUACUAAUAAACCUUCGCUUUCCCCGACAGCUGGUUCUGCGGACGUUGCCACGUUCAACGCUUUUGAGGUCCUUGAGGAAGGUUUGGAUUCUGAGAUGGGAAAGGGCCUGAAUGACAUGAGCAUAAUCAAAGAACAUUCUAAGAGGCCGGAGAAAGUGAUGCAGUUCAGAGCAGAGACCAGGAUGCAGAGCAGAGCCGAAUUUCAGAGGCUGCACAGAGUGAAGAUCCGGUACACGUGCCCGUUGGUCCGGUGAUGAGAGCUAGAGCCAAGACUUUCAAGGCUAAUUUAAUGACGUUGGUGGAGGAAAUCUGGAGGCAAGAGCUGAGAAGACCAAUUGGAGAAGGACCGACAGAUCAGAGCUCAAAGGUAGUAAACCUUAUUGCUUACCGAGCCGAACCGCCAGAGCAGACUCGAUUCCUCUGGCUUUGCCAGAGCAGCAGAAUCAUGCCGUCCAGAGAAGACUCGAUUCCUCUGGCUUUGCCAGAGCAGCGGAAUCACGCCGUCAGAGAAGAUUCGGUUCCUCUGGCUUUGCCAGAGCAGCGAAAUCAUGCCGUCCAGAGAAGACUCGAUUCCUCUGGCUUUGCCAGAGCAGCGGAAUCACGCCGUCAGAGAAGACUCGAUUCAUUUGGCUUUGCCAGAGCAGCGGAAUCAUGACACCUGAGAAGACUUGAUUCCUCUGGCCUUGCCAGAGCAGCGGAAUCAACCCGCCCAAGAAGACUUGAUUCCUUUGGCAUUGCCCGAGCAGAGGAAUCAUUCCACCAGAGCAGACAUGUUUCCUCUGCGUUUUUCCAGAGCAGAUGGAUUUCUCGCUGGGUUUCUUUUGACUUGCUGAACAAGUUCCGUUAUUUCUUUAUUUCUGUUUAUUUCCUUUUUACGUAGGGUUUCCUGUUCCCUAUAAAUAGGGAUGUUAUGCGUUGGACAAAGUUAGACAAUUUUGAUAAUAUAACAGUGAGUUUAAUUCUCUCUCAAGUUUCGAAUUCUUCUUGAUAAACAAGGAUUCAACCUAUCGACGAAUCGACGAGUUCAUCAUCCCUCGCCGUGUGUCAUUCAGAGUCUUCGAGUUACUGCAUCAAAUGCACGUUGGGGUCUAGGGAUUCGUUCGCCUAGAUCAUUUCGUGGUUUAGAUUUAGGGGUUUUGGGAAUUCCAUCCUUUAUCUGUCUUUUCAAUUUCAUCCGUUCAUUUUCAGUCUUCCGCUUACAAAUCAAAUAGAUCGGUGAUUUCCAUAUCUUUUACGUUAUUGCUUGUGUUUUCCGGUGAAACUCCAUAAAUCCCGGCCAAGAUCAUAUCAUCUGGUAUCAGUUUUUCCAGGUUUCGUAAGGGUUACGCUAUAUAUAAAAAACAAAAAAAAAACAAAAAAAAAACAAAAAAACAACAGAGAACAAUCAAACAAAAUCUUCCCGAAAAUAAAAAGAAGGAUGCAGUAAGCAUCAACUUUGUGUUUGCCCAUACCGAAUUUUCUUGUCUCUUAACCCGUUGUGUGUUCUUUAUUUCUUUGGAUUCCAUCGCUAGUUGUGGUGUUUGUUUUUCUGCGUAGCACUGAUUUUGGGUUCCAGUCUGCGUUUAGGCGUCUAUCUUUUCUUUGUCGAGUCCUAUCUUCUCUGUGUAUUUGCUGUGGUCCUUGUGAGGCGUGACAUCGAGUGCUCUCGUCGAGUGCGCUUGUUGAUCUCGUUGUGCCGUUGGUUUGUGAAUUCCAUUGGUAGAUUGAGGGAAUUUGAUUCUUUGACAGAGAAUUUGAGCGGUAAAAGGCAAGAGUGGUGAGAUUAGCAGAGGGUAAAAGCCUUGAUUUGUGUGGAUACACGAGCGCUGAGUGAUUUCAUCUUGAGUGAUACACGAGUGUUUGUGAGGUGGUGAGGUCCUUUCUUGUUUUUGUUGUUUUCUAACGUUUCUUGUUUUCUGUCUGUGUUACUAUGUCAAAGCACCCUGAACAGGGUAUGGAUUUGAGCGAUAGCCCUGUUAUGGAUCCCCAGUUCAAACUCGUGAUGGAGGCACUUCGCUCCGAAUUUGGCAGGAUGCUCCAUUCCGAACUCGAGGGCGUGUACGAUAAGAUUGAAUUGCUGGAACAGUCUCAUUCGCGUGAACACACUUUCACACGAGGAGGCAGACGGGGGCGAGGAGGCCGUGCUGGUGGCGGAGGUCGAUUCCACCGUCAGUAUGAGGAGCAUGUCGAUGAUACCGAAUUUGAGGAAGAGAACGACGAUGACAGAAUGUGGCAAGAUCACAAUCUGGGAAACAUCAAGAUGAACAUUCCUCCAUUCCAAGGGAAGAAUGACCCCGAAUUGUAUCUUGAUUGGGAGAGAAAGGUGGAGCUUAUGUUCGAUUGCCACACCAAUUCAGAGCUCAAGAAGGUGAAGUUGGCAGCGAUUGAGUUCUCAGAUUAUGCACUUGUUUGGUGGGAUCAGCUGGUGUACGAGUUAGGAGGAGAAACAAUGAGCCACCUAUUCAAACUUGGCAGGANGAUCCACAGUUCAAACUAGUGAUGGAGGCUCUUCGCUCCGAGUUUGGCAGGAUGCUACAUUCCGAACUCGAGGGCGUGUACGACAAGAUUGAAUUGCUGGAACAAUCCCAUUCUGGAGAAUCCAAUUUCACACGAGGAGGCAGACGCGGGCGAGGAGGCCGUGGUGGUGGCGGAGGACGAUUUCACCGUCAGUAUGAGGAGCAUGUCGAUGGUACCGGAUUUGAGGAUGAGGACGACGAUGGCAGAGCGUGGCAGGACAACAAUCUGGGCAACAUCAAGAUGAACAUUCCUCCCUUCCAAGGGAAGAAUGAUCCUGAAUUGUAUCUUGAUUGGGAGAGAAAGGUGGAGCUUAUGUUCGAUUGCCACACCUAUUCAGAGCUCAAGAAGGUGAAGUUGGCAGCGGUUGAGUUCUCCGAUUAUGCACUUGGUUUGGUGGGAUCAACUGGUGACGAGUAGGAGAAGAAACAAUGAGCCAUCUAUUCAAACUUGGCAGGAGAUGAAGGCUGUGAUGCGGAAACGUUUUGUGCCAACUCAUUACUACCGCGAGCUUUUCAACAAGUUGCAGACCUUGAGGCAGGGCAGUCGGAGUGUGGAUGAGUAUUAUAAGGAGAUGGAGGUUGCCAUGAUUCGAGCCAAUGUGGAGGAGGAGCGAGA